CCUACGGGAGGCUGCAGUGAGGAAUAUUGGUCAAUGGACGAGAGUCUGAACCAGCCAAGUAGCGUGAAGGAUGACUGCCCUAUGGGUUGUAAACUUCUUUUAUAAAGGAAUAAAACGAGGCACGUGUGCCUUUUUGCAUGUACUUUAUGAAUAAGGAUCGGCUAACUCCGUGCCAGCAGCCGCGGUAAUACGGAGGAUCCGAGCGUUAUCCGGAUGUAUUGGGUUUAAAGGGAGCGUAGAUGGGUUGUUAAGUCAGUCGUGAAAGUUUGCGGCUCAACCGUAAAAUUGCAAUUGAUACUGGCAGUCUUGAGUACAGUUGAGGUAGGCGGAAUUCGUGGUGUAGCGGUGAAAUGCUUAGAUAUCACGAAGAACCCCGAUUGCGAAGGCAGCUUACUAAACUGUGACUGACAUUGAUGCUCGAAAGUGUGGGUAUCAAACAGGAUUAGAUACCCGGGUAGUC
This 460-nucleotide ribosomal RNA is filed under the name uncultured bacterium. Its description in RNAcentral is "partial 16S ribosomal RNA". It matches the Rfam family "Bacterial small subunit ribosomal RNA", at positions 338 to 795 of the family's 1533-position model. The record is from RNAcentral.